UACGUAGGGGGCAAGCGUUGUCCGGAUUUAUUGGGCGUAAAGAGCGUGUAGGCGGUCAGGUAGGUCCGUUGUGAAAACUCGAGGCUCAACCUCGAGACGCCGAUGGAAACCAUCUGACUAGAGUCCGGAAGAGGAGAGUGGAAUUCCUGGUGUAGCGGUGAAAUGCGCAGAUAUCAGGAAGAACACCGGAGGCGAAGGCGGCUUGCUGGGCGUGAUCUGACGCUGAGGCGCGAAAGCGUGGGGAGCGAACAGG
RNAcentral lists this ribosomal RNA (253 nucleotides) under uncultured bacterium. RNAcentral describes it as "partial 16S ribosomal RNA". It matches the Rfam family "Bacterial small subunit ribosomal RNA", at positions 524 to 776 of the family's 1533-position model. The record is from RNAcentral.